This 21200-nucleotide long non-coding RNA is filed under the name Homo sapiens (human). RNAcentral describes it as "HSALNT0075941". Lineage: Eukaryota; Metazoa; Chordata; Mammalia; Primates; Hominidae. The record is from RNAcentral.
AAGUGAUGACAGCUAAGCCUUUAUUUAAUGAAAGAAAAAAAACACAGCGAAAAUGGCAGUCAAUAUGUACAGGCAAUGUCUGUUUACAAUUAUGGGUGGCAAAUAGAUAAACCACAAGUGUUUACUGUGCACCUAAAUGCCCCAGUGCUGAAGGCUAUGUAGGGCAAAUUAAAAGGAGUGAAAAACACCUGACCUGAACAUUCAGCCAAAGAGCUUGCAGUCUAACCAAAGAGACAGGACUAAAAUGAUGAAAGACUACUGGAGAAGACUGAAUGGCAUAUUGUGAAAGGAAGGAGAGGGAUGAGCUGAUCACUAGGUAAAGUGAGAGGUUUAGCUGUACUGUUUCCCUGCUCCAGGGACAAGAUGUGUCCACACACAGGCUCUGUUUCUGAGAAAGCAAAAGCAUGUGGAAAGCUGGCCUGGUAGAGAAAUGGGGGAUAAGGGAGCAUGAGACUAGCUAAAAGGUACUACUGAGAAUUAUAAACAUCUCACCUUUCCCUUGUCCUUCUGCAGAGCCCCCAGCUAUCAAUACAUUACAGCAGGAUGAGAAAGACCCAGGCCUUUGACAUCCCAGGCUUUGACAGGCCCAGGCUUGACAGUGUCUUGGCACAAUGUUGUGGGAAGAAUAAGCACAAUGAAGAGGUGCCUCAGGAAGAGGACACACUCAGCCACCCACCUCAUGGGACUGCUAUGAGAAUGACUGAAAUAAUUAAUUGUGAAGAGCUUUGUGCCCCUGGGAGUAAGAACACUAUGACACAACUGGAGAAACUGGUUAUUUUACCAAGGCUUAGGCUGGAAUGGUGUGCUUUCCUUUAAAGAAUCAAACUUGACUUAUGGAGCCAAUAAAAGCCUCUUGGGAAAACUGGCCUCAUACAUGUCUACACAGUCCCUGUAUAGGGUUCCUGACCUGUGAUAUAUUAUAAAACAAGAAAUUUAGUUCCAAUGUAUCCAAGCUGUCCCUUCGGAAGGUGAUCAGAAGAGAGAAAUGAGUUUGGAAAAGAAAAGGAAUAGCUGAACAAGAGCAAGUGAUUUCAGAAAUCUAAACCCUGAGAAAACAUGGGUAACAGAGAAGAACUUCUGCUGUGAUAUCUACUUCUGCAGGGAGUAGAGAAACAGAAGUAGAAGGUAAAUCUGAGAUGAGCACAGAGAUAUCAAGUGAAUUGCCCAAGGUCACCAACUAGUAAGCAGUGAAGCCAGCAUUUGGUACUUUGGUAGCUCUGACUCGGCAGGCUGUUCUACCCCUCUUUGGGAAAAGCGUCGCAAAUGAGCACACAGCUUCAGGGUGAAUUCUUACAGCAAAGAAAAGGAAAUGGGAUAGCACAGCCCUGCUAUGUCAGAAGAACCAACAUCAGACAUCAGUGGAUUCUCAUAGCAACAUCUCCCCACUGCUUCCUCUUGACACACAGGAAAAAUGUUCCAGAAUCAACUGGGAAGACUGGCAUUUCAUUUAUAAAUGUAAUUCCCAGGCUGGGUCGGUAACUCCUCCAAUCUUUCCAAUUACGUUCAUUUCAGAUAUAGGGGACAGAAAUGCUCCAGAAAAGAACUAGACCAUAUUUGGAGGAGGAGAGAAGGAGUACACCCUUCAUCUGUGUUGUGAACUAUGUGGAGGAGAGUAGUAUGUUACAGUACAGAGAGUCUUGGGGAGGCCAUGUGCAUGUGUCUUCAGGCCUCCACCUCCUUUCAACUUGAGGAGCUCUGCUUUUCCUUCUAUUUUAGAGGGGUUACCCAAAAUCUCAUCUGAAAUCUGGGUUCCAUGGCUAAAGAAGUUUAAAAACUGAUAGUGCCAUGACAAAGCCCUGGAUCAGAAGUCACAAAACAAGAAUCCAAGAAUCUCUCUCUCAGUUUGGCCACAAACAAGUCAUGAUUAAUCCUGGGUCAGUAAUUUUGCAAUCUUGGGUUGUAGUUUUCUCAGUGUAACACCAUUACUUUACAGAUUUCUAAGACUCUUGGCCAUAUUAAAAAUAUAUCAUCAUAUAAAACGAAAGAAAUAAAAGAUAUGUUAGUGACCUCACCAAAGAAAGUUUAAAAAGGUAAAUAAAAAUCCCAUGUCUCACAGAAAGAAAAGAAAUAGGGUAAGGUAAUUUAUUGAUAAAGAAUGUACUAACCAUCAUAUGAUCUAGUGCUCAGAACACCACCGUGAGAUUGGUCCCAUCAUAUAUUAAUAUUUCCCAAACACUUUUUUGGUUUGUUUUUUUUUUGUUUUUGGUUUUUUUUUGAGACAGAGCUUCACUCUUGUCACCCAGGCUGGAGUGCAAUGGCGCGAUCUCAGCUCACUGCAACCUCCGCCUCUCAGGUUCAAGCGAUUCUCCUGCCUCAGCCUCCUGAGUAGCUAGGAUUACAGGUGCACACCACUACGCCUGGCUAAUUUUUCUGUUUUUAGUAGAGACAGGGUUUUGCCAUGUUAGCCAGGCUGGUCUCCAACUCCUGACCUCAGGUGAUCCACCUACCUCGGCCUCCCAAAGUGCUAGGGAUUACAGGUGUGAGCCACAAUGCCCAGCCAAGAGUUUUUUUUUAACUUGGUAUUUUUAUUUAGCUUGAUGUAGAUAAUUUGUGGAUAACACAUCCAUGUGAAUUUACUAUUAAUCAAUAACAAAAGUUUAUUCAAUAACCAUGGCCCCUACAACAUGCCCUUGCUAAUCUCAGAAGCAAAUUAAACUCAGGUCAAAUGUACAUUGUAACAUCUUAGAAUCCUAAAAUCCAGGUUCUAACCCUGACUCUGCCACUUGAUGAGAAUUAAUGCAAUCUCCUUGGUCCUUAGUUUCUUCUGUCCUACCCCUAUCACAUUCUCAAAUAAGGGGCUAUGCUAAAUGAUUGGCCAUUGGCAUAUUAUGGUUGAUCUUAUACUUUUAUUUCUUGUGGCAAUCACACAGUCAGAAUAAGCCACAUGAAAAGGAAAAUAAAUUCAUGGAAGAAUCACCCAUUAGGUUCUAGUCACUACUUAAGGCAUCUGAAUGGAACAAGAGGAGACUAUGGGGGUGGGGGGAUUUCCACCAGGACUGAAACCAAUUAAAUAAGAUCUUAAUGAAGAGCUCCUGAUUCAGGUUUAUUAGAGAAGAAAUAAGGCAUUAAAGCUAAUGAAAAUAAUUUUAUAAAGUUGUAGCUGAAAGGUCAUAUUCCCUAGAACAAGAGAUAGUUAAUUAGAAGGUAAACAAUAGAAAAGUUAUUGGGUGAGCUCAGAGGCCAACAUGAAAGAAUAUAAAAAAGUAUUCUGCUUUAUAAUUCUAACUGACCAUUAUACAGAUGCAGAUUCAAAAUUAGGAAAUAAUGUAAUACCAAUUAGUAUAAACUGGUUAGUGUUUAUAAAUAGUUGGUACUUUAAAAGGCCUUUUCCAAAAUACCUAAAAUUGAAAUAUAAUAAUAUCCCAAGUAAUCUGAAAUUGCAUAUUUUGAUUUAAAGUUAAACUAUAAAUUCCAUUAGCAUUAAUGUUUAAAGGUAGACAAUUUACAGUAUUAAGCUAGAUGAGACCUCUCUCGUAAAAGAUUAGCAAUCCCAGAUUGUGUAUUUUUUUCUGGGUUGCAGACUAUUCCAGUUUUAACAUCAUACAUGACAUACACUCCUAAGCCAGAUAGCUUUGAGAAAGCAGCUGAUUAUGUCUUAGAACUUUGUUCAUUAAAACUAUAAAUUCCUAUCUCAAAUGCUUCUUGGAACAAACAAAUAUAAACAACGUGAAUUCUAUCGAAGCUUAUUUGAAUCACUUGAGGCAUUAUUUAUGGCUGUUUUUGAAAAUGUUAUGUUUGUUCAGUAAUAUUUUAUGAAUAAUGUUAAUACAGUUUUCCACCAAGUAACAUAAAGAUACCUGAUGAAAGAUAGAGAACUUAAAUUCAUGUAAAUGGUAAUAAAAUAGAAAAACCUCUGGGCUCUUUAUAAAAUAAACCAAACUUAAAUGCAUUUUCCCCAAACCAACAUACACUUAUAGGAAGUUAUUCAAGGCAUAAGACUGCAUAUAAAACAGGGAUUCUACCUUCAACAUUAAAUUCAGUGAAGCACUUUAUAUAUUGUGACUUCAAGGAAAGCUGGAAAAUUUUACAGUUCAACGGGCUUUCUCCUUUACUUUUUAUAGAGAUUGAAAAGUUAACCUUAAGACACUAGGCCAUUAUUUUGGCAAUAAAUAAAUCAUUAUAUCAUGUUAUACACCUUAAUAUAUACAAUUUUUAUUUGUCAAUUAAAAACACAUAUUUUUAAAGAAAUCUCUAUAGCUGUUGAAUAAAACGUCAUGUACUUAUGUUGUACAACUGACCAGAGUUUCUACCUAAUUCAAAAUUAACUAUUAUGACUGGCUUUUGAGGCAACUCUGAGAGUCACUCCCCAAUCCUUUUCAUCCUUUUGACUUUCAGGCCAACUACUUCCUUGGGAAACACCACCAUCUCUCAGUCAGCAAAGACAGAACCAGAGAGAGAGACUCUGCAAGUUCAGGAAGAAAGGUUCCAACUACUUUUACUCUCCGUUGCAUCUCCUAAUGUCACCACUUCCUCAGAGCAGGGUUUAGUCACUACUACAAAACAUUGCUCAGGAACUGCAGAGCCACUAGCCUGGCAUGUGGUGACACAUUCCCAACACAAUUCUCUAACAUUCUGAUUUCCCUUGCAAAGAUAAAUUCAAGCGAACUUAGAACUCUUAAAGAUCAGAUUGAGAUUGAAUGCCAUUGGCUUUCUCCCCAUACCUAUGCUCCUACACAUCUCUUCAGCCCAGCACAGGGUUUUAAAAGCUCACUGCUUAACACAGGGCUAUCUCCUCUGCUGGUUAUGAGCUGCAAGGAUAGAGUCCAUGUCCUGUUUGUGUUGGUGUUCCUGGCCACUAGCCAAGAACCUGCAGCCCAGCCCUAGAAUAGCAGUUGAAUGAAUGUGGCAGCCCACACACUCAAAGACACCAGAAUUAUCUUACCCUUUCCCAGAGAGCUUCAGGUACCUUUCUUUUCCUAAAUGAGUCACUAAUGUGUCUGUAUAAAUAUGGUUUCCAUAUAUGUCACAGAGCCCAAACAUUUCAUCUGACUUACUGUGGUUUACUUUUUGUGACUGCAUUUUUAUUAUAUCUUAUAUAAAAAGGGGGAUAUAACAGAAGGAAAAAACAGUAAAGCAAAAACCCAUAUCUAGCUUCAGAGCAUUACAUAUCCACUGGAAGCCCUAAAGCAAUGCUCCAUGAUCGCAUGGCCUUUCCGCUGCAUAACCCUGAGGUCAUUUUUUGAUACAUAAUUCUCAAAGUAUGCAGUGCUGAAAGACCUUGAAGAGCUUUCUUAAAUGAUGUUAUGGUUAAAAUUUCUAUGAUUGCAGUCCUUGAAAUCAUAAAAGAAUAAAUACAUCCUUGGAAAAGAUCUCACUUCUCUUCUUCUUCAUUCCUUCACAAUUCAGCCCCCACCUCUCAAGGAGCUGUCUAGAGCAUGGCGAGCAAGCUAAUGCUUUCCCAGAGUUUAUGACAGAUGCCAGUUUUAGUGUUCCCCAAAUGCUAACAUUAAUACACACAACUACUGUAUAGGGUAGUCACCAUUACCACCCCUAUCUGAGGUAUGAAGUUAGAAAUGUAACAAGUGACAGAGGUAGAAUUUGAACGCAUCUGAGUCCAGGCUCCUGGAACCAUGCUAUGUUGUGAUUUUCUGGGAUCUUGGGCUAUUUUUACAAUUAGAGAUGUGACCCAAGGGCAAUGGAUUUCCAUCCUGGUGAGUUCUUCUGGGGAGAGACUGCACUUCUCCCAGUCCUGUCCCCAACUCUUCCUCCUCACAGUUACCAUGUAGGAGCAUGAAAACUAUCCAUGUUUGCCCAGUAAGGUGGCAUUCUUCCAAACAUUAGCUGGCCCCACCUUAUAACACAUAAGCGAGAAGCUCUAGGUCACUUGACCUCAGGGCACAUGCAAAUGUUUAUCAGGCUGCCCAGUGACUUGUAGAGGCGGCAUUUCCUGGAAACAUCAUGGUUAGACAUUUCAUUCAGUGAGGUGUUCAGAACAUCUGAAUCACUCCUGUUGCCUAGCAACUUGUUUGUGUUUGGCAGGAUGAAGACAACUCAGGCACAGGUACAGUCGGAUAUAAGGCAGAAAUCUAUUCAGCACGACGUCCUCCCAACACUAGACUGCUGAUUUAGUGCUUAAACUUGACAGUGUUCUUUCCCACUUUCUCACUCUUGGUAGAGGCUCCUUCAGUCAUUCUCUUUAAGUCAGGAGCAUUCAAAAGGCACUAUGCUGUACACAGAAUAAACAGGUCCUUUGUAGCUGAAAUAUAGGCUACUAUUUUUCCUACAGAGUUUUGAAAAAAAACUUUUAAGACAAAGCUAAUUACAGGGUUCUUACAUAUAAAAGGGAAAAGAGUUAUACAGUAUCAUGGAAAUUACUUGUCAUCCUUAAAAGAAUUAGUUCUUUCACAUAUUCGCAUAUCUGUCCCUUUUCUUUGAUAACAAGAAUUGAUUAGCACAAUAUAAGUAGCUUCGGAAUCAAGGAGGUUCACCCUCCAAUACCGUCAUAAAUACAAAUAUAUAGCAAAGCUGGCCUAAAGUCACCUUACUAACCUUCAUCUUCAAAUUUAAGUUAGCAUGUGUGCCUGGGUUACUCUAGGAGCCAAAAAUCUAGAACAAAACACUGUGGGCUUGCAUUCCAUAUACAUUCUCCGACAGUUACGGCUUUUCCUCUAUUAUUUUAGGUCUCCGCUACUUUCCCAGUCAUUUCUAUGCGUUAAAUACUCAGAGAAAGAAAAGUGGUUUUAGAAAAGCCGCCCCCACCACCACCCCAAUACUGGGAUUUCUGUUGUUGUUUCUUUCGUUUUUGCUCUUCUUGUCAGAGGACAUGCCUGCUAUAGAAACAAGAAAAUAAGAUGUAAGGGUGUGCUUAAAUGUUACUCCUAAUCUUAGUGGGACAGUCCUGAGUUCUAGAUUUAUUAAAUGUUUAUGAACAGGAGGAUACAAAAGUUGUUUAGAAAAUUUUAUUUUUUCUUCCUUUCAUCCAAUAAUAUUCAUCCUUACCUUGGGGUUUCAGUAUCCUGAUAUUUGUAAGAACUAUUAAAAAUCAAAUAGAUAUGAAUUACUUCACUUUUUUAACAACUAUAAAAUGGGUAUAUGAGUUUACUUAGCAAAGAUUUUCAACUUAAACAUGUUAAUCCUUUAUCUCCUCCAAAAUAUUUUUCUUUUUGAAAGGCAUAUUUAAGGAAAAAAAUCUUUCCAUAUUAAAAAAUUCUUGAAUUCCACCAAAGUCCAUAACAGAUUUAAGAAAAGAGUACCCUCAUUAUCUAGAACUGGCUAACUGUAGGCUGCAAUUACUAGUGGCAAGAAAUAAGGGGGUUGAAUCACUCUCCAAACUAUUUCAAAGUCCUUAACCACAUCUCUCAAGCAAGUUUUCUAAUUUGGGGUUCGUAGUUGAUAGGUGGACCUCCUGAAGCCCUGUAAAAUGUUUUGGCUCAUGCAUAUAACCAGAAGUAGAAAGCUUAUUUCUUCAGAUUCUCAAAAUCGAAUUUAGGUCUUGGGAAAUCAAAUUGCCAGCAGAUAACUGAGGAUUUAACCUCAUGAAUUUGUUGCUGACUACCUGCUUAAUAUAAAUUGCAGUAACAUAAAAGAAGAAUGUUUGUUCCCAUGCUGAAACUGAAGAUUUCUAAUAAUUAAAUAGCAGUAGAGCCCCAUCUAUGACAGCAAGCCAGUUUACUGCAUUUGUAUACCCUGAGAGCUAAAUUACCACUAAUUGUCUCAUCUUUCGAAAAUGUAUUUAAACUUCAUUAGAUAUGUGAAUGUCUGUUAUGGCCAGGCGAAAGAGACCGACCUAGUCCCUGGCCUCACAAAGCUUGCAGUCUGGUUGGAGAAACAAACAAAUCAUUAUCACACAGGGAGAUAAAUGUUUAGAUAAUUGAAAGUUCAGGAUGCUAUAAGAACACAUUGCCAAGGCACGCAACCCAGUCUGACAUUUAAGCUAUGAGAAUUGGCAAAAUAUCCAGACGCUGAUGACAGCAGGUACUCUCACAAGUUUCUAGUAGAUAUGUAAUAAGAAAACCUUGGCCAGGUGCAGUGGCUCAUGCCUGUAAUCCCACCACUUUGGGAAGCCGAGGCAGGCGGAUUACCUGAGGUCAGGAGUUCGAAACCAGCCUGGCCAACAUGGCGAAACCCCAUCUCUACUAAAAAUACAAAAAUUAGCCAGGCGCAAUGGUGGGUGUCUGUAAUCCCAGCUAUUCAGGAGGCUGAGGCAGGAGAAUUGCUUGAACCCAGGAGGUGGAGAUUGCAGUGAGCCGCCGAGAUCGCACCAUUGCACUCCAGCCUGGGCAACAGAGAGAGGCUCCGUCUCAAAAAAAAAAAAAACACCUUCCUCUCAGAGAUGCAAUUUAAUGAUAUCUAUUAAAAUUACACAUACACCUUAUGACCUGCAAUUCUACUUUACAAGUUUAUAUAGAUAUAUUGUCUACAUGCAAAAUAACCUACAUACAGUUACUUACUGCAGUACUGUUUAAGAGCAAACAAUUGGCCACAACCCAAAUGUUGUCCAUCAAUAGAUCACUAUUUUAACUGUGGAACAUCCAUAAAUGGACUCUGUUAUUCUGUAACUGCUUUAAAAAAAGAAUGAGGAAAGUGUCUUAGUACUAGCUUAUUAAGUCCUCCUACAUAUAUUGUAAGGAAAAAAAACAUACAUUGCAGAGAAAUAUAGUACGCUAUCUUUUACAUUAUGAAGAGGGCAAAUAGGAAUAUUCCUAUUUGCUUAUUUAUGCAUAAAGAAAUUCUAGAAGGAUGCUUUAGACAUUGACAGAGGCUGAGAGGAUGGUGGAGGCAGAAUUUGGGCAGACUCUGUGAAUGCGAAAUGUAUGAAAAUGGUAUACUUAAAAAGUAAUCCUUACAUCAAGUGUGUGGGACAUUGCAAAGGAAAAAAAAAACAGUAAUCCUUUAUUUUUCAAGCCCAAGUUAUAUCAACCUAGCACCUUUUUUUGGUUUAUUAUUUUAACACACUUCUAAAAUUCUGCAGUGAUUAAAUUAGAACAUACGACUACUUUAUUUUCCAAAUCAGGGUUUCACUCUCUCCUUUCCUGCUUGUGUCCAUCUGCCAUCCUGAAGGGGGUUUCCCCAGAGUACCUGAGAGCGAGGCAAGUCCUCUGUGCCUCCCUGCUCUGGUUUGUUGGCUGAGGAUAUUCAAGAGCUUUUUUUAAAGCUCAUGAAAGGAUUUUGUUUUGUUCACUGCCUCAUUCGCAACACUGACAAGAAUGCCUGGCACAUAGAAAGCGUUCAGUAAGUAUUUGUUGAAUAAAUGAAUUCUUUUCUUCACUCAGCUUCAAUGAGACAGACACCACCAGACAAAGGGAAAGAUAUCAAAAUGGUGUCAAAUAUUUAGAAAUAGCUGCCAUUCUUAGUGCCAGCUCAAAGUAGGCAUUCUAACCUUAGCAACAUUCCUAGAAUUAUUGUGAAUUUCACAGAAGACAAAUAAUGUUAUAGAAUACUGUGCUGAAUAAUAUUAACUACCUACAAAUAUUUAUUUUAAAUGAUUUGGGAUUACAUGGUCCUGGUGUCUAUCUUAGGGUAGAAAUCUUUUUAGGCAAACACCACAAUAAACAGUAAUGAUAAAAAGUAAAAAAAAACAAAACAGCUAUCAUCAGGGUCAAAUGAACCCUAGUCUUAAGGUGCCCAGAGAUAUAGCAAGAAAAGGGAAACUCUUUUGCACUAAAAAAUGCAACUAUUUUUAUUUUCAAGAAUAAAAUUAUACUUGAAAUAAAAUUCCAAGUACUCUAGGCAGUGAAUUGAGUUGUACUGCUUCAACCACACAAGCAAAACCUCUUCUUCCUCAGUGGGCAUAGAAUGGGUAUAACUGCCACAGCUCUUUAAUUUUGGUUUAGAUAACUAUAAAAACAGAAUAACUUUGCUAGUAAUUUCCGUACUGUUGCUGAAAGGUGCAUGGCUGACUGAUAUCUCUUUGAAGAUUUUCUGUUUUCUUAAGGCAUGGUUGAGACAGUUAAUUGAGUGCUCUCUUUUGGCAGUAAUGCAAACAGGUUAGAAAGUUAUGGGGUUACCUCUAUUUCUCUGGCUGUCAUUUAAAACGGCAAUCCAAGACCGAGAAAACAUCCAUUCACCUGAAAGAACUUGAAAUUUAAGACUCUCCUGAGGAUGAAAUAAAAAUUCUCAGAGUUACGACAUUUAUGAAUGUCUUAACCAGAGAAGGGAAGAUAGCAGCAGCAAAGCUGCAGGACAACUGAUAGACAGCCAACCUUCAGCUGAUGUAAGUUAGACUCAUGCUAUAGCAGCAGGAAGCACCAAACCUACUGUUUCCAGAUGGUAGCACAGCAAUUCCCACCUUGGUCCUUGCAGCAGUCAACACUCCCAGUCUCUGGCAGGUCCUUUUGGAGAAGAGUGUUAUAGGGCCACAGGAUGCAGCUCUAGGGGAAGAAAAAGUCAGAGAUUAAAUAAGAAUGAGGCUUUGUUGCUAUGUUUUGCUAGUUUUCUGGGGGUGGAGGUGGAAUGAAGAGCCCUCUGAUGCUACCCUCCUAGAGCUCUCCAAUACUGGCCCUCUAGGAGAGUUGCCAGGAAAACACUGGCUAUAACAGGUACUGACACUUCAGGUCAAGAAAAGCAACUCAGCCAUUCACUCCACUAAUAUUUAACACCUGCCAGCCCCUAUUUAAAGUUGGAGCAGGGCAGGCAGGCAGAUUCCCUUGCCUCCUGAUGUUCGCGUUCUAACACAGGAACACACAGAUAAACAAGAAGACCAGUCAAUGUCACUCAAAAAAGUCAGUCAGAGUCAGGGCAAGGCUGAUGUGGUCGAUGUAGAGCAAGUGGUGUCAGGGAAGCCUUUCUAAGGGGAUAUUUAAGACUUAAUAAGGGUUGGGGAUGGGGGGGGUGGGGCAGCUACAAAAGAAGAGUAAGCCAGGCAGAGGGAACGGCUGGGCUGGCCCAAAGGCCCUGAGGCAAGAAUGAGCCAGGAAGGUUUAAAAAGAAUGGAAAGCACGGCGGGAGUAUUGUGAACUAGGCAUAGAGAAGGGAAGAGGAGUGCAGAGGGCUUUAUAGGACAGUAGAAGGACUAUGUACAUAAAGGGCAAACUAAGUGUCACAGAAACUUAGGUUGAUGUGCUGUGCAUAAUCUGUCACCUUCUACUAAAUGGUGGAAGAUUUCCUUUGAAAUACAUACAGUUGCUGCAGUCUUUCAAUGGAUUUUUUAGUUGAAAUUUGCCUUGUGGAUGGAAGCAAAAUAUAGGCUACUGGCCAGAGGUCUGCAGUUCAUAGAACCACAAUAUGAAUAUCCAAAGAAUACAACCUGAGACUACCCAAUAGUGCAUAUAUGUAUAUGAUUUGGUAGCAUAUAUAUAUAUAUAUAUAUAUCUUUUAACUACCUAACAAAUUUCAUUAAAAUCUGUUUAACAACUGCAGGAUGUACACUCAUGUGCAACCAGAAAUCGAUUUUUAGUUGAGAUCCCAUCUUAAUCAAAAAUACUCAACUCUUGGAAGAAACUCAAGAACAAAUGUGUCACUCUUAGGUAUAUACCCCCCAAAAAAAUGAAAACACCAGUCCAAGCAAAAACUGUACACAAAUAUUCAUAACAGCAUUAUUCAUAAUGGCCCCAAAGUGGAAAAAACCCAAAUGUCCAUCAACUAUUAAAUGGAUAAACAAAAUGUGGCAAACCCAUAUAAUAUUAUUGGGCAAUGGAAAGGAAUAAGGCAGUGAUACACACUGUAGCACGAAUGAAUCCUGACAACAUUAUUCUAAGUGAAAGAAGCCAGUCACAAAGACCACAUGUUAUAUGAUCCCAUUUAUAUGAAAUGUGCAGAAUAGGCAAAUCCAUAAAGACAGAAAGAUUUGUGGUUGCCAAGGGCUAGGGGAAGAAGAGAAUGGAAAGUGAAUGCUAAUGGGUAUAGGGUUUCUUUCUGGAGUGCUGUAAAUAUUCUAGAAUUAAAUAGUGGGGUUGGUGGCACAACUCUGAAUACACCAAAAACUACUGAUUUGUACACUUUAAAAAGGCCAGUUUUAUGGUAUGUGAAUUACAUCUCAGUGCAACUGUUGUAAAAUUAAAAGAACAAAAGAAUAUCUGAAAUGCUGUGAACAGAUGAAAUAAACUUCAACUGGCCCAAAAUGCUAUAUUCCAGUAAGCAUUACUAGACCCCAUUAAAAGGGACAAGCAGUUUAGUUUUACACUUCAGAUACUGUACACUACACUCCCCAUGGUACAUGUUUACCCCUCUGGAAAGAUCACCUUAUCCUUGGAGGAUGUUUUUCUCGUUUCACUUGGAACCCUUCUCCGGUUAUCACCCUCUCUCGACUCCACCUACCAUCCCCACUCACUCCACGCAAAUAAAAUUAAAGCAGAUAGUUGCUUUUGCACUCUAACUCAAGUCUGUGGACAAUUACAAUUGUUUAGAGCAUGGUAUUAAUGAUAUUUCUAAUAUGGUCAGCUUAUAGAUUUUAUUCAGUUACGUAGCCAAACCUAGCACUUUUCAUCUAGUCAAGCUGAAAAUGUGUGCCCUUGUCAAAAAGGAGAAUGGGCAAAAGGGUAGAUACUGGAAAUGCAAAACAAAUUCAAGCUUACUACUCCAAAAUCCCUUUCUGUAUAUAUCUUAACAUGGUGUUACAUUAAGACUACAUUCAUUUUAAAUAGUAUCUUAUAAGUUCAUGAUUUAUUUUAAAGUAUAUGUAGAAUGUAUAAUUUCACAAAGGAAUAAAGUAAAUUAUAUAACAACAGCAAAAUACUACUGUGAGAUGAUUAAUGUAGAAUCACAGAGGCAGGUAAAUAUAGAGAAGGUUUCUUGAUCACAAGGUGUAGUGGAAGAGGGAAUGCUAUCUCCUGGGACUGAAUAUUGUUCUACCUGCUCCCGGUAGCAAAUCACUGCAGAGACAGCAAAGCUUGAUGUUUAUGAACAAGGAUUCUGAAGGCCAACUCCACACUUAGCAUGACUCCACGAUUAAGUAUUAUGGCUCCAGGCAUGAUACUUAAUUUCCCUGAGCCUUAGUUCCCUCAUCUAUAAAUAGUACUAACUUAACAAGGUCCUUAAAAGAAUCAAAGGUUAUAUAAAAACAAAAAUAGAUCUAAAGGGAGAGACAGAUUGCAAAACAAUAAUAGUAGAGGACUUCAACACCCCACUUUUGGCAAUGGACAGAUCAUCCACGCAGAAAAUCAGUAAAAAACAUUGGAAUUAAACUAUACUCUAGACCAAAUGGACCUACUAACAGACAUUUACACAACAUUUCAUCCAACGGCUAUACAAUACACAUUCUUCUCAGCAGCACAUGGAACAUUCUCCAGAAUAGAUCAUAUCUUAGACCACAAAACAAGUCUCCACAAAUUCAAAAAAGUCACUAUUAUAUCCAAGUGUCUUUUCUGAAUCCAAUGGAAUAAAACGAAAAAUCAAUAACAAGAAGAGCUUUGGAAACUGUGCAAAUGUAUGGAAAUUAAGCAAAAUGCUCCUGAACAAUCAACAAAGAAAUUAAGAAGGAAAUUUAAACAUUUCUCAAAAUAAAUGAAAAUGGAAACACAACAUACCAGAACCUAUCAGAUACAGCAAAAGCAGUACCGAGGGAAUUUUAUAGCACCAUAUGCCUACAUCGAAAACAUAGAAAGACUCCAAAUAAAUAACCUAAUGGUGUACCUCAAGGAACUAGAAAAGAACAAAUCCAAAAUUAGUAGAAGGAAAUAAUAAACAUCAAAGCAGAAAUAAAUGGAGAAAAAAGAAAGAACCAAAGGAGUUAAUACUAAUAAAGACAUCAGAAACAGCACCUGGUAUAUAGUAAGCAUUAUAUGUAUUUGUUAAAUGAUUAAAAUAGAGCAUACUAGUUAAGUCUUGCAAAAUGACUAAAACUGUACUGCAUAUUUGGCUCUCAACUCCUUUGUAGAUAGAGGGGAAAAAAUUUUCCAAACUCAGAGAAAGAGAGAAAAUGCAUAUAUCUCCAUAUGUGUUUGGAGGAAGGCAAGUGGGAACCAUAUUUUGUUCCUCAGGAGGAAAAAGAAAGCAUUUGACACUUAACUUUAAUAUGGUCUGUACACAAGAGGCAAUGAGCAAUACUGCAGACCAGGGAAGACCGCCAUAUGACGUCACUUGAUAGUUUUUCACUGUUUCUCAAUAAAUCCCAAGGCAUAACUCUCUACAAUUUCUGUAGUAGGAAGACAAGGCAAUGUGAUACAAAUAUACAGCUCUGAUGAUCGGCUCACAACUGCACCAGAAAUCUCCAAUCCAUCUUUUACUUCCAUUUCCCUCUGCCAUGCUUCUGAUAACCAGAGCUGAGGAGGAGACAGUUCCAGAUCUCUGAAACAAAUUCUCCAACAUUAGGAGAUGGCCAAAAUAUAGCCACAUAAAAACACUAAGUAACCUGAUGCAUUGAAAAGCAACUCCCCCUAGAAGCAUCUGUUUUUAAGUUUAAUGGACUUCAGAGCCAUUGUCUGGCUAAAGAACAGCCAUAAUCAUCUCAGGGGAUUAAACAACUUGGAAGAAUAUUCCUAUUAGUCAUAGUCAUCUCAGGCUCCACCUAACAGUUAAACACAGAACUUUUAUGAAUUACAAAAGCUAUUAUGCUUAAGCCAUGUUUUAUUGUAAAUUGGACAGUAGAUAACUUUUCUUUAAAAGACUAGUUAUACGGUGCAAACCUUAGCUAGAAAACGACCCGUCUUCCUUCAGAUAGUCCCAUAUUGUACAUGGAAGACACGAUAAAGUUGAAUUUCCACAGCUAUUACACAGUCCUGUGACUAAGCUGAUGUCCCAGUGAUUUAUCAGCCGUUUUCAUUCCAUCUGGCAAAGCAUGUUGUUCUUAAGGCUAAUUAUUUAACAAUGUUUUCUUCAGAUAAAAUGGUAAUAAUCUUAUUAAUCAACUAUAGCAAUGUAUUUUCAUUUGCAUACCUAUGGAGUAUUGCUAAAGAGAAUAGAAAAUAGAUUAAUUCCCUUGCGGUUCACGUACACUAAAUGUAGCAUUCUGCAAGGAAGGAGAGCAAGAGAUGGCAUUUAUAACUAACUCCUGUGCAUUCUUGGAGAAGCUUUUUUUGACCAUUCCAGACCGCAUUUGGUUUCCUUUCCCUUGCUCCACGUUACUUUCUACUUUUUCUCUGACUUAACAGUUUGCUAACUGUAACUUUGGUCAGUUAUUUGUAGAGAUUUACUUGUCUCUUUCCAGUGAGACUGCAAGCUCUGUGAGGGAAGGGAUCACAUGUGUCAGAUUCUCUGCUGUCUUUCUGGCACAGAAUUGAGGGUUAUAAAUAUUUGUUCACUGACUAACUCCCAUUUUAUAAGAUAAGCUGUGUUCCUAAAGAAUCACAUGUCAGUUCCUCUCAAGAUAAGGAAGUCACUGAAGUAAUCUUAUAAGGGGAGGGAGUAAGCCCCACUAAUAUCAUUUAAUAUUAUGAAACAGUGACCCACAAGUUUGAACUUACAGAAGCAGAGUCCAUGGAUAUGGCUAUGGCAGAUGUGACUGAGGGGGAGGGAGAAAAGGAGUGGGGAGGAAUGACCCACUAAUUUAGAUGGGUACUUUCAGAGUGAAAGUUUAUUAUAAGAGCUCAAAUAGUGUUUUCUAAUUAUAGACUGUUAAAUUUAAAAUAUAUUGAAAGGCAACUCUGUACUUCUCUCUGCCCAAUGCAGACUGAAUUAAAAUAUCCAAGAAACAGGACUUUUUUUUUAAGCCCAGAAAGCCUGACACACCUAUUAAAAAGUUCUGUCUCAUAAGCUCUGCUUUCUACAGUUUCUGUUAGGUCUUCCAUGGCCCAGACAAUUGGCAAUCUUGUUCUUUCUUUCAUGACACAAAGUUGUUAUAUCCAAAUGAUUAACCUCCUAAGGUUAAAGUCAUGAGCGAUGACAAGAAGGUCAUAUAAUAUCAUAACAGUAAAAAUUAAAUAAUUUUAAACAAAUGCCUUCAAACCUUCACAAUAAAAGAAAAUAAACUCUUAUACUUUAACAUUUAAAGUGAGAAAGUGUUUAACCUUACCAGUGAGAAAAGAAACUCAAAGAAGUGAGAUACCAUUUUUCUACAUAUUAAAUUGACUCUUUAAAAUACCAACAUAAAAUUAUUACACUGCUUUCCAGGGCUAUUGUAAAAUAUAUUUCAUAUAUUCUAUAAACCUCCUAAGAACAUCAACAAAGAUUAGUUCUGAGCCUAUUAACCAAGACAUUGCCAGUAACAGUAAAAAAAAAAAAUGAGAAACAAGUGUCCAAUAAUAAGAGACAUGUUAAAAACAACAUGGUGGGUAGGUACAAUGGAAUAAUGAAAUGCUCCUAUCACAGUUAGUGGGGAAUGAUAAGAGGUGCAUUAUAUAUUCAUGGGUAUAAAACAAUGAUAUGUGUAUGAUCCUAUUUCUCCUGUUUCUACAAGUUGCAUGUGUAAAUAUAAAUGUGACUAGAAAGAUAAUGCAAAAUGCUAACAUAUAAUAGAUUUAUAGAUGACUUAAAUUUUUCUUUUGCUUAUCCAGGCAUAACAUUUCCUAAAAUAAACAUGAGUUGCUAUUAUAAUUAGAAAGUUAAAGAGAAAAGAUGACACAAAAACUCCCAAAACACAUUUCCAAAUAGCUACCAUAGUCACAUUCUUUUUUAAAAAAUUAUUAUGACUUGGGAGGCUGAGGCAGGCGGAUCACGGGGUCAGGAAAUCCAGACCAUCCUGGCUAACACGGUGAAACCCCGUCUCUACUAAAAGUACAAAAAAAAAAAUUAGCUGGGUGUAAGUGAUGGCAGGCACCUGUAGUCCCAGCUACUCGGGAGGCUGAGGCAGGAGAAUGCAGUGAACUCAGGAGGCGGACCUUGCAGCGAGCCGAGAUCGCGCCACUGCAAUCCAGCCUGGGUGAAAAAGUGAGACUCUGUCUCAAAAAAAAAAAAAAAUUAUUAUGACAAGCACAUUGUUUCAUAUCAUUAUGCUCCGAGGAUAAAAACGGUACACCUCAUUUUUCAUUUUGAUCAGUCUGUGUGUGGGGCAAGCAAAUAAAGGCAUUCAGUCUGGAAUCUUAAAAGUUUUCCUUUUAGCAAGAUGCCAUUUGUGGUGAUGUACCACCAAGUAGCAAAGAGGUCAGCCUCUCCAGUUAAAUAUAGCCUAAUUAUAUAGUUGAUAAAAAUAAAGGAAAAUGUACAUAUUUACUAUGAUUACUACUCAUGCUCAAAUAAAAUCCUGUCUUUGAAAUAGAAAUGAAACCCAAAGUAAAAAUAAAACAAGAAACUUAAUUCAAAAAUGUGAAUUAAGAUAGAAGCAAAUUUGGGAGGGGGUUAUUAUAGAGAAGCUGCCCUUCUUGCUUAGGGAGAGAGGAUAUUUGCUGGGAUGCAGAAAAACUCAUCAGGAUAUACAGAAGUGUUAUUGUCAAAACUGUAAGGAUCCUGUAGAAUAUACACCUGAGUAGGUUAACAGACUGAGCAGAAUGGCUAUACCUGAGUAAUUUAGUCAGAGCUAAGUGUAUGUUAACUAUCCAGGUUAGGCAGUGCCCUUCAGCUUUCUAGCCAUCCAAAUCUCUCGUUGACUGGAUGGUAAUUACUUGGACUACCUGGUUGGCAAUCCAUGUCCUCUAGUUUUUAUUUUCCUCUCUCCUAAUCUGUUGUUGUCCUUGUUCUUAAGAUUUCUAAGAGGUUGCUUACUCUAGCCUCCUCUGUAGUUAUCAGCGGUUUGCUUCUCUUGUGAGAAACUUGUUUGAAAGAUGAAUGAUUUGUACUUGUCAUAACUCUUACAAAGACUUCCACCAGGUGUACCAUGAGCAUGGCAUGCACCGUAGACUUCCACACCCUGCAGGCUUCCAAUAUUCCUUCCAAGCAAUCAGAAAGCAAGUUGCAUAUUAGCAUAUUUACAUAAACCCCUAUUUCACAAAGCAAAGUUUUUUCAAGUCUUCUUUUAAGUUUUAGAGGCAGGAUGACAUGCAGAGAGAACAAAACGGGAGUUAAGAAAUUAAAUAUUCAGGAUGCUAAGGAGUUAUUUGGUGGUGUCCAUAUGAAAGAGAGUAUUAAAGUACCAGGAAUCACUGGAGCAAGAGAAGAAGAAAGUGAAAUGAGGGGUACACUCGUAGAAGGUUUUGCAACUGAAUCUUGAGCAACAUAAAGGAAAAUAAAGCAAAGCCCCCAGAAGUUGGGAAGAUGAAUGCAUUUGGAUGAGUAUCAAGGUGGAAAUCAGAGGACCUGCCAGUGGAACCUCAGAAACCACCCAAGCUCUAAUGGGCUGUCACAAAACGGGAUGGUGAUGCUGACCACGUAAAUAGGUCAGCCACAUGCUUUUACCUCAGACUUCUAAGUCAUGCAAGGUCAGAGGCUACACCUCAGGUACUAUAGGAAGGGAAAGUGAAAGGAGUAAAUGUUACUAAUGUCAUUUUCAGUGAUCACACCUCUCUUCUUGGGCUAGGUACCCUGGAUGCCCCUUGAUCUCAGAAUAUGGCACCUUCAAGAGAAGGAUGGGGUUUACCACACAGAAAGAGAACCUCUGAGGUUUUCCCUUACCUCCAUAAAGAGUCUAAAGCUUGCUAUAGGAAAAAGUAAAGAAUAAUUCUUAUCUUUCCAAAAAGGCUUAGAGAUAGUAAACAAUACCAGUUUUCCAUCACAUUUCUAAACAAACAAAAAAGUAUAAGGGAAAUGUAACCACAUUGUCUUAGACCAUUCUUGCACUGCUAUAAAGAAAUACCUGAGACUGGGUAAUUUAUAAAGAAAAGAGGUUUAAUUGAAGUUCUGCAGGCUUUAUAGGAAGCAUGAUGCUGGCAUCUGCUUGCUUCUCAGGAAGCCUCAGGAAACUUAUAAUCAUGGUGGAAGGUAAAGGAAGAGCAAGCACAUCACAUGGCCAGAGCAGGAUCAAGAGACAGUGGGAGGAGAGAUGCCAUACACUUUUAAAUGACCAGAUCUUCUGAGAACUCACUAUUGUGAGAACAGUACCAAGAAGAUGAUACUAAAUCAUUCAUGAGAAAUCAACCACCAUGAUCUAAUCACCUCCCUGCAGGCCCCACAUCCAAUACUGGGGAUUAUAAUUCAACAUGAUAUUUGGGUGGGGACACACAUCCAAACUAUAUCACACGUGUAUUCUUUCCAGUGGGGAUACACACACUCAUUUUUCACUUUGUUUUUCAUUUCAAAUUUAGUACUUUGGCUAAAUUGUAAUAAUGUAAUAAUAAUGGAAUAAUGUAGUUUGUGAGCUACCCUCUAAUUGAGAGCAGAGGGAAAUAUGAUGAAAACAAGCCAAGGGCUUUCUGGGGAAAAGACCAUGGGCAAAAACUAUUUAUUACAAUUAGGAGAUCUGGUUUUAAUCUGGACUCUGAUAUUGUGAUCUUUAAAAAGUCAAUUGUGAUCUUUAAAAAGUCACUUUAAUUCUGUGGACCACAGUGAACUCAACCACAAUUUGCAGUUCAUCUGUACCCUCAGGACCCAGACAUCUCCUAGUACAUAGUAAGUAUUAUCAAGUAUUUGUUGAAGGAGAAAAAUAAAGACACUGAUUUAAUAGUCUCUCAAAUUUGUUCUGACUUUCUAUUGCCGGACUGUCCAAUACAACAGCUACAAGGUACAUGGGGCUACUUAAAUUUUAAUUUAAAUUCAUUAAAAUUUAAAAUUCAGUUCCUCAGUCACACUAGCUACAUUUCAAGUAUUCAAUAGGCACAUGUGAUGACUUGUGGCUACUGUACUGGACAGUGUAAAAUUAUGGAACAUUUCAGCAUUGCAGUCAGUUUUGCUGGACAGGAGUGCUCUCAGACAUAACUAAGGAGAAAGGCAACGCAUUGUACCCUCCUGUAGACACAGCUCUCUAUUCUAUGAAACUUCAUGAAAGGUUUACAGAGGGAACACGAGGAACUCAAGCAGAAAUUAAGCAUUCCCUUAGAGAACCAGUCUGUUUCUCUGCAUGUUGAAAGUACUGCUUCUCAGGAUAGUCUUCUCAACGAAUUGUGCUGAACAACCCGACUUCCAUAUGUAAAAAAAAAUGAAUCUAGAUACUAAUUUAUAAGAUAACAUAGAAGAAAAUCUAAGUGACCUUAGGUUUGGCAAUAGGUUGUUAGAUGUAACACCAAAAGCAUGAAAGAAAGAAAAAAUUGGUAAGUUGGACUCCAUUAAAAUUAAAAACUUCUACUCUAAGAAACACUGUUAAGAAAAAGACAAGUCAUUGACUAGGAGAAAGUAUUUGCAAAACACACAUCUGAUAAAAAACAUAUUCUAAAUAUAAAUAGAGCUCCUAAAACUCAACAAGAAAAAUAACCUAAUUAAAAGGUGGGCAAAAUAUCUGAACAGAUGCCUCAUCAAACAAGACAUAUAGAUGACAAAAAAUUAUAUGAAAAGAUGCUCAAUAUCAUAUGCAAUUAGGGAUUUGCAAUUUAAAACAACAAUGAGCUACAACCAUAUACAACAGCUAAAAUCCAUACUAACACCACCAAAUGCUGGUGAGGAUGUGGAGCAACAGGAACUCUCAUUCAUUGCUGGUGGGAAUGCAAAAUAAUCCACCCACACUGGUGGACAGUAAGGCAGUUUCUUAUAAAACUAAACAGAGUCUUAGCAUGUGACAAGGCAAUAGUUCUCCUUGGUAUUUACUCAAAUGAAUUGAAAACUUCUGUCCCCACAAAAGCUGCACACAAAUGUUUAAGCAACUUUAUUCAUAAUUGCCUAAAACUGGAGACAACCUAGAGGUCCUUCAAUAGGUGAAUGAGUAAACAAACUACGGUACAUCACAUAAUGCAGUAUUAUUAUUCAGGCUAAAAAGAAAUGAGCUAUUUCAAACUACAAAGACAUGAAGAAACAUUAAAUGCAAACUGCUAAAUGAAAGAAGCCAAUCUGAAAAGGCUAUAUACUGUAUGAUUCCAACUACAUGAAAUUCUAGAAAAUGUAAAACUAUGGAGACAGUAAAGAGAUGAGUGGUUGCCAGAGGUUGAGGAUUGGGGAGGAGUGAAUACGCAGAACACAGACUUUUAGGGCAGUGAAACUAUUCUGUAUAGUACUACAAUGAGAGCUACAUGUCAUUACACAUUUUUCAAAACCCACAGAAUGUACAAUAUAAAAAGUGAACUCUAAACUAUGGACUUUGGUUAAUAAUAUAUCAUAUUGGCUCCUUAACUGUACAAAGUGUACUACACUAAUGUGGGAAACUGAGGGGUAGGGGUAUAGCUUAUGGGAACUCAGUACUUUCUGUUCAUUGUUUCUGUAAAUCUGAAACUGCUUUUUAAAAAACGCCUAUUAAUUUACCAAAAAAGUAUUUCUCAGAAUUAGCUAUAAACUCUUAGUAUUAUCUAAGACAACAAUAAUCUGUUUUCACAAAGUAAAACAAGAAAUACUCCAAUUACGUGGUUUAAGAUGCAACGCAACACCCAAACAUUAGUCAAAAACAGCUUUCCUUUAAAGUUCAUAUGGAACCAAAAAACAGCCCGCAUCGCCAAGUC